Molecule: ribosomal RNA, 450 nt
Filed under: uncultured Glomeromycotina
Lineage: Eukaryota; Fungi; Glomeromycota
Description: SSU rRNA
Rfam family: Eukaryotic small subunit ribosomal RNA
Source: RNAcentral
AGCAGCCGCGGUAAUUCCAGCUCCAAUAGCGUAUAUUAAAGUUGUUGCAGUUAAAAAGCUCGUAGUUGAAUUUCGGGAUCAAUUUGUUGGUCGUACCUUGGUACGUACUGGCAUUAUUGGUUUCUCCCUUCUGAGAAUUCUUGAUGUCAUUAAUUUGGUGUCUUGGGGAAUCAGGACUGUUACCUUGAAAAAAUUAGAGUGUUUAAAGCAGGCAUACGCUUGAAUACAUUAGCAUGGAAUAAUGAAAUAGGACGCUCGAUUCUAUUUUGUUGGUUUCUAGGAUCGAUGUAAUGAUUAAUAGGGAUAGUUGGGGGCAUUAGUAUUCAAUUGUCAGAGGUGAAAUUCUUGGAUUUAUUGAAGACUAACUACUGCGAAAGCAUUUGCCUAAGGAUGUUUUCAUUAAUCAAGAACGAAAGUUAGGGGAUCGAAGACGAUCAGAUACCGUCGUAG